CUACUUCAGCGAGAUCAGGGCUGGGAAGAAACUGCUUUCCACAGGCCUUUGUAAGAGAUGUUCCCGGUAGGCUGUAAGAGCACUGUUGAGAGCGAGUUGUUUCUUAGCUUCCCAAAGAGCUGGAAGCAAGACGCUUUGCGGCCUGUCUCCACUUCAGGAACAAGGCAGGACUUUGUGACUUGCACCUCUAGGGCAGAGUACGACACGUCAAAGGAGAAGUUCUACUUCAGCCAGAUCAGGGCUGGGAAGAAACUGCGUUUCACAGGCAUUUGUAAGAGAUGUCCCUGGUAGGCUGUAAGAGCACUGUGUAGAGGGAGUUGUUUCUUAGCUUCCGAAAGAGCUGGAAGCAAGGCCGUUUGUGGCUUCUCUCAUUUGGCAGCAAUGACUCAGUGUGUUGUCUCUUCCACCUCUAGAGCAAUGUAGAACAUGGCAUAGAGCAGAAGUUCCAAGGCAGUGAGAUCAUGGCUGGAAACACCCUGCAUUUCAGGCCUUUGUAUGAGAGGUUCCCGGUAGAUUGUAAGAGCCCUGUGGAAAGCGAGUUCUUUCUCAUCUUGCCAAAGAGAUGGAGGCAAGACGGUCUGUGGCCUGUCUCAUCUUAAGGAAGCCAAGCAGGGCUUUGUGACUUCCACCUCUACAGCAAUGUAUUACACUUCACAGCAGAAGUUCUACUUCAGCGAGAUCAGGGGUGAGAAGAAACUGCGUUUCAUAGGAUUUGUGAGAGAUUUUACAGAAGGCUGUGAGAGCACUGUGGAGAGCUAGUUGUUUCUUACCUUCCCAAAGAGCAGGAAGCAAAACGCUUUGUGGCCUGUCUCCCCUUGAGGAAACAAGGGAGGACGUCGUGCCUUGCACCUCUUGGGCAAUGUAGGACAGGACAGAGCAGAAGUUCUACUUCAGCAAGAUCAGUGCUGGAAAGAAACUGCGUUUCACAGGGCUUUGUGAGAGAUGUUCCCGGUAGCCUGUAAGAGAACUCUGGAGAGCAAGUUGUUUCUUAGCUUCCCAAAGAGCUGGAACCAAGAAGAUUUGUGGCCUGUCUCCCCUUGAAGAAACAAGGCAGGAAUUUGUGCCUUGCACCUCUAGUUCAAUGUAGGACACGGCAGAGCAGGAGUGCUACUUCAGCGAGAUCAGGGUUGGAAAGAACGGCAUUUGACAGGCCUUUGUGAGAGAUGGUGCCGGUAGGCUGUAACAGCACUGUGGAGAUCGAGUUGUUUCUUAGCUUCCCAAAGAGCUGAAAGCAAGAAGGUUUGUGGCUUGUCUCCUUGGGAGGCAAUGAGUCAUCACUUUGUCACUUCCACCUCUAUAGCAAUGUACCACAGGGCUUAUAGCAGAAGUUCCAAGGCGGUGACAUCUGGACUGGAAACAAACUGCAUUUCAGGUCUUUGUAUCAGAGGUUCCCGUUACUCUGUUAGAGCCCAGGGGAAAGCGAGUUCUUUCUCACCUUGUGAAAGAGCUGUAAGCAAGACAAUCUGUGGCCUGUCUCAUCUUGGAGCCAGGAAGGGCUUUGUGACUUCCACCUCUAGGGCAAUGUAUUCCACGGCAGAACAGAAUUUAUACUUCAGCAAGAACAUGGCUGGGAAGAAACUGCGUUUCAUAGGAUUUCUGAGAGAAGUUCCAAGUAGGAUGUAAGACCACUGUGGAGAGCGAGUUGUUUCUUAGCUUCCAAAACAGCUGGAAGCAAGACCGUUUGUGGCUUGUCUCCUUUGGUGGGAAUGACUCAGCCCUUUGUGACUUCCACCUCUAGGGAAAUAUAUUACACGGCAGAGCAGAAGUUCUACUUCAGCGAGAUCAGGGCUGGGAAGAAGCUGCAUUUCACAGGCAUUUGUAAGAGAUGUUCCCGGUAGGCUUUAAGAGCAGUGUGGAGACCAAGUUGUUUCUUAUCUUCCCAAAGAUCUCGAAGGAAGAAGCUUUGUGGCCUCUCUUCCCUUGAGAAAACAAGGCAAUACUUUGUGCCUUGGAUCUCUAGGGAAAUGUAGGACAUGGCAGGGCAGAAGUUCUACUUCAGGGAUAUCAGGGCUGGAAAGAAACUGCGUUUCACAGGUCUUUGUAAGUGAUGUUCCCAGUAGGCUAUAAGAGCAAGAUGGAGAGCCACUUGUUUCUUAGCUUCCUAGAGCUGGAAGAAAGACCGUUUGUGUCUUGUCUCCUUUGGAGGCAAUGACUCAUAGCUUUCUCACUUCCACCUCUAGAGCAAUGUAGAACACGGCAGAGCAGAAGUUCUACUUCAGCGCGAUCAGGGCUGGGAAGAAACUGCGUUUCACAGGCCUUUGUAAGAGAUGUUCCCUGAAGGCUGUAAGUGCACUGUGGAGAGUGAGUUGUUUAUUAGCUUACCAAAGAGGUGGAAGCAACACCGUUUGAGGCUUGUCUCCUUUGGAGGCAAUGACUCAGCGCUUUGUGUCUUCCAUCUCUAGAGUAAUGUGGGACAUGGCUUAGAGCAGACAUUACAAGGCGGUGAGAUCAUGGCUGGCAACAAACUGCAUUUCAGGCCUUUCUCUGAGAGGUUCCCAGCAGGCUGUAAGAGCCCUGUAGAAAGCGAGUUCUUCCUCACCUUGCCAAAGAGCUGGAUGCGAGACGGUCUUUGGCCUGUCUCCUCUUGAGGAAGCCUGGCAGGACAUUGUGACUUCCACCUAUAGGGCAAAGAAUUACACGGCAGAGUAGAGGUUCUACUUCAGCGAGAUCAGGGCUGGAAAGAAACUGCGUUUCACACGCCUUUGUAAGAGUUGUUACCAGUAGGCUGUAAGAGCACUGUGGAGAGCCAGUUGUUUCUUAGCUUGCCAAAGGGCUGGAAGCAAGACCGUUUGUUUCUUGUCUCCUUUGGUGGCAAUGACUCAGCUCAUUGUGACUUAAACCUCUAGAGCAAUGUAGAUCAUGGCUUGGAGCAGAGGUUCCCAGGCGGUGAGAUCAGGGCUGGAAACAAACUGGGUGUCAG
Long non-coding RNA from Equus caballus (horse), 2920 nucleotides. Lineage: Eukaryota; Metazoa; Chordata; Mammalia; Perissodactyla; Equidae. The record is from Ensembl.